AAAAAGUUAAAUACAACUGAACCGUACUCAUUCAAUAGCAUAGAGGCAAGCACACAUACAAAUAUUGAUACGUGCUUAUUGACACUCACGGGCAAUUUAAAGUAAAAAAUGAACACAACAUAUAUUUGCAAUUUGGGAGGGAGCGGCAGUACCCACAGAAAAGAUGCGAACUGAACGCAAGAAGGAUGAUUUGAGAUAAGAACCCCAAACCGCAGACGUGUGAGGCAGAUGGGCCAUUCUUAAAGGUCAGGCAAAUUAAAAAAAAAACAACAAAAAAAAAAACCAGUAAACCAUUGUUAAUAAGUUGGAACAAUACUCCGCGUCCCUGGUCACAUCUUUGAUCACAUGCAACAAAGGCACUAUUGAGAAUGCAGCGGGAGGGAAGAUGAGUUCCAUUCUUCUUUGAUAAUUACCGGCAAACUUUAGCUGCCUUUUCCGAGCGCACGGCCUCAAUGGGGCGGUUCGGUUUCCGCUCCGAAAAUGGGAGUAUGCCGGCAAACUGAGGAAACCCAAGCAACGUUGAACACAUCGGCCAGACUGACGUAGCUGGCAACGAUCGACGACAAUCAAGGAUCUUUUGUUUCGGUGAAUUUGCCGUGGAAAGGUGACCAAUCAUUACGGUACUUCAUUUAAAUGUUGGAUUUUAUUUAAGACGAGGAAUCAAGAAAAAAAAAAAAAAACAAUGCUGUGGAGUAGAAAACUGCUCUGUCCAAAGAUAAAAGACAACAUGAAGGAAGGUAAUGCUGCAGUCAACUUUGCAGCGCCGCGAAGGCACAUCGUCGCACCAAGUCGCCCGCUGAAGUUUUCCUGCGCCGUCGCUGGCGACGCACCCCCGGCACUCAUCCGCAGGUUGCAAGGGGCCCGGUUGAUCCAUUUUCCAAAGCCUAAAACACAGUUGACGAAGUCUCUACGAGGGAUUGAGGCUUGCGGACGACCGCACGAACAAUUGAAUGUGAACAAUAUCGACAAAAACAAGGCUGUAUUUUCGAAGGAACGGCCUCGUGUAUCCCGCCGGCUGCCGCGCAGGAACAUGCCUUGACUUGUUGCAGUGGCCAAGUGCAGCACAGACACGACACAAGCGGCUUUCGGGUCAAAGCCCGCAGAACACCUCCGGGCACCGGCUGAGCGGUUCCAAACGUGGACGGGGGGGUGCUGGGACUGCUUGACCGCCUUGGCUGUGAUCAAGAACCAGUGCGAGAAAACGGACCAGUUUGCGACCAAAUGACGACAACUGUGGCUGUCUCGUAUUAGCAGAGCCGAUCUAGCAGCAAAGUCAUUCCCUUACGCCUGAGUUUGCUCGGAGCAUUUUGUUCUUGAACUUCCAGGUUCGAGGCAGACCUGGAAAGUGUGGAGGAUUCAAGAUGCCACAGUCGAGGCGGACCGCGGUGGCGAGGACCGGCCGGCGGGAGGAAGCACGCGGAUGCUGUGGGUGUUUCUCUGGCAGUGUCUUAGCUGGUUGUUGUGAGGAGUGAGAACGAAGCAAUCAGCAAGUAUACUGCCGCAGAAAUUCUUUGCAAUAAUAAUCCGGCAGCACCGACGUGGACUAUCGGAGGUGAAAACCUUAAGCGGCCUUGUACCAAUCACCCAACUGCAGAAUAUGACGUCACGUGAAGAAAGCUGAAAUAAAACAUUUGAUAAAUUAUGAGCGGAGGGAAUAGUGCUGAUUCAGGAAUCUUUUGGAUAAAGGCCUCACGGUCUAGUUUUGAAGUUCUAGUCCUCUGCUGCCAUCCAGUGGCGAAGACAAACUCCCACCAUGCAACAAAAGCAGAGUAGCUUACUUGCAGAGUUGUUUAUCUACCGGGUAUGAAUCGUCAAAAUAUAUCCAUAUUGAUUAACUUCCAGCCUGUUAUGUUAAUUUUCUAUUUUUUUUUUGCUGAUUUACUGACCAUGUCUCCACUUUCUAAUUCUAAUAAGACUGAAGAAAAGAGCUGUACAUAAAACAUGACCUUUUCAGAGGUUUUAACUGACACAAUCAUAGAGGUAUUAAUUUAACUGUCAAUUUCUGUGUUUUAAAUGCACUGCAUCAUCAUAUACUGGUUACUUGUUACAUUCUUCUUUUCCUUUCGUCUUGUCCCGUUAGGGAUCACCAUGGUGUGUCAUCUUUUUCUAUCUUAGCCUAUCAAGUGCAUCUUCUUCUUUAACACCCACUGUCAUCAUGUCCUCCCUCACGACGUCCAUCGACCUUUUCUUUGGUCUUCCUCUCGCUCUCUCUUCCUUGACAGCUCCAUCUUCGUCACCCUUCUACCAAUUUACUCACUUUCUCGCCUCUGGACAUGUCCACACCAUCGAAGUCUGCCCUCCCUAACCUUUUCUCCAAAACAUCCAACUUUGGCUGUCCCUCUAAAGAGCUCAUUUCUAAUCCUAUCCAACCUGCUCACUCCGAGCGAGAACCUCAACAUCUUCAUUUCUGUCACCUCCAUUUCUGCUUCCCGUUGCUUCUUCAGUGCCACCGUCUAUAAUCCGAACAUCAUAGCCGGCGUCACCUCUGUUUUAUAAACUUUGCCCUUCUUCAUCCUAGCAUAGACUCUUCCGUCACGCAACACACCAGACACCUUCCGCCAGCUGCUCCAACCUGCUUGGACCCGUUUCUUCACUUCUUUACCACACCCGCCAUUGCUCUGGAUUGUUGACCCUAACUAUUUGAAGCCAUCCACCCUCGCCAUUUCUUCCCCCAGUAGCCUCACCGUUCACUCUUCCCCCUCCACCCCUCUCAUUCAUACACAUAUAUUCUGUUACAUUACAUGAAAAAGUAAAAAAAUAUUCCGAAAAGCCCUCAGCGUGAGUCAACAGUUUUACACCACUGCGAGCACAAUAAUAGAAACGUGUGAAAAUAAUACCUCUGUCAAUCACAACUCAGCAUUAUUAUCUUUGCAAAGGCAGAUUAUUUGAUAGCUUCUAUUAAUGGUGCAAGUGGUCAUGUAUUGUGGCCGGCCAGCGCAUCUUCACGGUGAAUCAUGUGUGGUUAUGUACUUUAUGAUGACUGCAGAAUAAAAUGAAACGGAAACAUUC
Long non-coding RNA from Syngnathoides biaculeatus (alligator pipefish), 3009 nucleotides. RefSeq lists it as uncharacterized. The transcript is spliced from 6 exons. The record is from RefSeq and is a predicted model, not a curated record. NCBI's taxonomy places the organism in Eukaryota, Metazoa, Chordata, Actinopteri, Syngnathiformes, Syngnathidae.